AUUCUGUCCAAGUGUCAGCCUGAAUUGCCAGUACAGAGGGUGGAGCCAGGAGAAUAUAUUAAUCUUGAACCAGCAAACACCAGGCCUCUUCUACUUCUGUAUGGAUAUUGACUGGGGUUGCUGCAAAACAACCACUGAAAUGGAAUAAACUAGAUUAGGUUAUGAUGACCAAUAAAGGGAUUGAGCCUGCAAAUCUCUGUGGACUUUCACUGAAGGAAUACCCUAUGAUGAUCGGGUAAGAUUUCCACUGAUGGACUUCUUUGACUAUCCAUGGAUCUCCCCAAAACCACAUCCAUAUGGUACCAUGUAGGAGCUUUUACACCAAAUUACCUGGGAAUUUCUACAAGUUACUUGGAACCAGAGAAGCAGAUCUACCAGGAGGACACCCUCUUCAGAAGUGCCCUGAGAAUGAGACCUAUUCCAGAAUGUGCAAGGGAAGAUGUUUCUAGGCACCAGACACCUGCUUGGGACAUGUGGGACUCAAUUUGAAAUGUGCUGAUUAAAUAGAUGUUCAGAAUGGGUUACAGAUUACAAGGAGACUUGAUAGUACAUAAUACUCUGGGGCUUUUUGUUUCAUGGUGUUUAUGUCUGAUGAGUUUUUUUUGCUUGUCUUGGUGACAUGUAAAUCUUUUCUCUCAAAUUAGUCCAUGGUGAAGCCAUCUAAGUAGUUGGAUUUGUAGCCUGACUUAGUUUAUUUAUAGAUUCUUAUUUGUCUCCUAAGGGGAGGAUUGUGACUACUUGAACUCUUUGAGCCUCUUAAGUAUUCUAUCAUUCCAUCUAGAAAAUUCUAAUAGAUAAGGUAGUUAAAUAAGUGAUCCUAGGAAUUGAGAAUCCUAGGAUCAAAGGGGCAAACAUUACACUUAAAAAUAGGUUUAAUGACGAUUGCAAAUAUCAAUAAUAUGGAAAUAGGUAUUGAACAAUGUUAUGUAUAUAACUCAAUGGGAUUGCUUAUCAGCUCCAGGAAAGGGGAGUGAAGAGGGAUGGGAAAGAUCAUAAAUCAUUUAACCAUGGAAAAAUAUUCUAAAUAAAUAAAUUUUUAAAAAUAGGAUUAGUGACUCC
This 1059-nucleotide long non-coding RNA is filed under the name Monodelphis domestica (gray short-tailed opossum). RNAcentral describes it as "lncRNA (ENSMODG00000034697.2)". Lineage: Eukaryota; Metazoa; Chordata; Mammalia; Didelphimorphia; Didelphidae. The record is from RNAcentral.